AGGUGUGAACAUACCAGCACUAAUGCAGCAGAUCCAUACAGAACUCCGCAGAGAAGCCUGCUUGGGUGAUAGUAGUACUAGAAUGGGUGAUCUACUGGGAACUCCUCGUGUUGCACCUA
Non-coding RNA from Lupinus angustifolius (narrow-leaved blue lupine), 119 nucleotides. The record is from Rfam. Lineage: Eukaryota; Viridiplantae; Streptophyta; Magnoliopsida; Fabales; Fabaceae.